GACGAACGCUGGCGGCGUGCCUAAUACAUGCAAGUCGAGCGCUGAAGGAUGGUACUUGUACUAACUGGAUGAGCAGCGAACGGGUGAGUAACGCGUGGGGAAUCUGCUUUUGAGCGGGGGACAACAUCUGGAAACGAAUGCUAAUACCGCAUAAUAACUUUAAACACAAGAUUUAAGUUUGAAAGAUGCAAUUGCAUCACUCAAAGAUGAUUCCGCGUUGUAUUAGCUAGCUGGUGAGGUAAAGGCUCAACAAGGCGAUGAUACAUAGCCGAGCUGGGAGGGUGAUUCGGCAAAUUGGGAAUGGGACACGGCCCCAGCUCCUACGGGAGGGCGCAGUAGGGGAUCUUCGGCAAUGGACGAAAGUCUUGCCCAGCAACGCCGCGUGAGUGAAGAAGGUUUUCCGAUUGUAAAACUCUGUUGGUAGAGAAGGACAUUGGUGAGGGUGGAAAGCUCAUCAAGUGACGGUACCUACCCAGAAAGCAACGGCUAACUACGUG
This 497-nucleotide ribosomal RNA is filed under the name uncultured bacterium. Its description in RNAcentral is "partial 16S ribosomal RNA". It matches the Rfam family "Bacterial small subunit ribosomal RNA", at positions 28 to 507 of the family's 1533-position model. The record is from RNAcentral.